RNAcentral lists this ribosomal RNA (448 nucleotides) under uncultured bacterium. RNAcentral's name for it is "bacterial SSU rRNA". It matches the Rfam family "Bacterial small subunit ribosomal RNA", at positions 355 to 796 of the family's 1533-position model. The record is from RNAcentral.
UUUCGAAUCAUUCACAAUGGGCGAAAGCCUGAUGGUGCGACGCCGCGUGAGGGAUGAAGGUCUUCGGAUUGUAAACCUCUGUCACCGGGGAAGAAACGCUUCAAGUUAAUAGCUUGAAGCCUGACUUAACCCGGAGAGGAAGCAGUGGCUAACUCUGUGCCAGCAGCCGCGGUAAUACAGAGACUGCAAGCGUUAUUCGGAUUCACUGGGCGUAAAGGGUGCGCAGGUGGCCAAGUGUGUUAGGCGUGAAAGCCCGGGGCUUAACCCCGGAAUUGCACCUAAAACUACAUGGCUAGAGCAUUGGAGAGGGGAGCAGAAUUCACGGUGUAGCAGUGAAAUGCGUAGAUAUCGUGAGGAAUACCAGAGGCGAAGGCGGCUCCCUGGACAAUUGCUGACACUCAGGCACGAAAGCGUGGGGAGCAAAAGGGAUUAGAUACCCCCGUAGUCC